AGUGGGGGAUAACGUAGCGAAGGUUACGCUAAUACCGCAUAUGCCCUGAGGGGGAAAGGUGGGGAUCGUAAGACCUAUCGCUUUCGGAGUGGCCGAUAUCAGAUUAGCUAGUUGGUGGGGUAAAGGCCUACCAAGGCGACGAUCUGUAGCUGGUCUGAGAGGACGACCAGCCACACUGGGACUGAGACACGGCCCAGACUCCUACGGGAGGCAGCAGUGGGGAAUUUUGGACAAUGGGGGCAACCCUGAUCCAGCCAUGCCGCGUGAGUGAAGAAGGCCUUCGGGUUGUAAAGCUCUUUCGGACGGAAAGAAAUCGCCAUUUCUAAUACAAGUGGUGGAUGACGGUACCGUCAUAAGAAGCACCGGCUAACUACGUGCCAGCAGCCGCGGUAAUACGUAGGGUGCGAGCGUUAAUCGGAAUUACUGGGCGUAAAGCGUGCGCAGGCGGUUUUGUAAGACAGGUGUGAAAUCCCCGGGCUUAACCUGGGAACUGCAUUUGUGACUGCAAGGCUAGAGUGUGGCAGAGGGGGGUAGAAUUCCA
Molecule: ribosomal RNA, 541 nt
Filed under: uncultured Gallionellaceae bacterium
Lineage: Bacteria; Pseudomonadati; Pseudomonadota; Betaproteobacteria; Nitrosomonadales; Gallionellaceae
Description: bacterial SSU rRNA
Rfam family: Bacterial small subunit ribosomal RNA
Source: RNAcentral